RNAcentral lists this ribosomal RNA (507 nucleotides) under uncultured bacterium. Its description in RNAcentral is "partial 16S ribosomal RNA". It matches the Rfam family "Bacterial small subunit ribosomal RNA", at positions 28 to 545 of the family's 1533-position model. The record is from RNAcentral.
GACGAACGCUGGCGGCGUGCUUAACACAUGCAAGUCGAACGGAAAGGCCCUGCUUUUGUGGGGUGCUCGAGUGGCGAACGGGUGAGUAACACGUGAGUAACCUGCCCUUGACUUUGGGAUAACUUCAGGAAACUGGGGCUAAUACCGGAUAGGAGCUCCUGCUGCAUGGUGGGGGUUGGAAAGUUUCGGCGGUUGGGGAUGGACUCGCGGCUUAUCAGCUUGUUGGUGGGGUAGUGGCUUACCAAGGCUUUGACGGGUAGCCGGCCUGAGAGGGUGACCGGCCAGAUGGGGACGGGGAGACGGACACGUGUGGUGCGGGGGGCAGCAGUGGGGAAUAUGACGCAGUGGGAGGACGUCGGAGGCAGCCACGCCGUGUGGGUGAGAGCGGCGUUAGGGUUGUAACCCGCUGUCGCCUGGCGCGGAGCGGAGGUGGCGGUGGUGGGCAGAGACGCCCCGGAGAACUAGGCACCAGCAGAGGGGGUAUAAUCGAAGCGCAGACGUCUUCAC